This 81-nucleotide transfer RNA is filed under the name Bacteroidota bacterium. Its description in RNAcentral is "Bacteroidetes bacterium (mine drainage metagenome) tRNA-Leu". It matches the Rfam family "tRNA". Rfam says of the family: Transfer RNA (tRNA) molecules are approximately 80 nucleotides in length. Their secondary structure includes four short double-helical elements and three loops (D, anti-codon, and T loops). The record is from RNAcentral. Lineage: Bacteria; Pseudomonadati; Bacteroidota.
GACAACAUACCCGAGCGGUCAAAGGGGGGAGAUUCAAGAUCUCCUGUUUCGGCUUCGUGGGUUCGAAUCCCACUGUUGUCA